Molecule: ribosomal RNA, 664 nt
Filed under: uncultured Phaeobacter sp.
Lineage: Bacteria; Pseudomonadati; Pseudomonadota; Alphaproteobacteria; Rhodobacterales; Roseobacteraceae
Description: bacterial SSU rRNA
Rfam family: Bacterial small subunit ribosomal RNA
Source: RNAcentral
CGGCAGACGGGUUAGUAACGCGCUGGUAAACGUGCCCUUCUCUACGGAAUAGCCUCUGGAAACGGAGAGUAAUACCGUAUACGCCCUUUGGGGGAAAGAUUUAUCGGAGAAGGAUCGGCCCGCGUUAGAUUAGGUAGUUGGUGGGGUAACGGCCUACCAAGCCUACGAUCUAUAGCUGGUUUUAGAGGAUGAUCAGCAACACUGGGACUGAGACACGGCCCAGACUCCUACGGGAGGCAGCAGUGGGGAAUCUUAGACAAUGGGGGCAACCCUGAUCUAGCCAUGCCGCGUGAGUGAUGAAGGCCUUAGGGUCGUAAAGCUCUUUCGCCUGUGAUGAUAAUGACAGUAGCAGGUAAAGAAACCCCGGCUAACUCCAUGCCAGCAGCCGCGGUAAUACGGAGGGGGUUAGCGUUGUUCGGAAUUACUGGGCGUAAAGCGCGCGUAGGCGGAUUAGAAAGUUGGGGGUGAAAUCCCGGGGCUCAACCCCGGAACUGCCUCCAAAACUGCUAGUCUAGAGUUCGAGAGAGGUGAGUGGAAUUCCGAGUGUAGAGGUGAAAUUCGUAGAGAUCGGAAGGAACACCAGUGGCGAAGGCGGCUCACUGGCUCGAUACUGACACUGAGGUGCGAAAGUGUGGGGAGCAAACAGGAUUAGAUACCCUGGUAG